GUUUGACCUGCAGCAAGUAACCACACUUGUUAGACAUUAAUUUCCUUUCUGGUUAAAGGGGCAAAAUAAAAGCCUAUCUAUUUGUAUUGUGAUGCUCAAAUGAGAUAAUUUAGGAACACAGGAAGCUUUUACGACACUAUACAUGGUAAAGUACUCUCCCAUCUCUUCAGAAAGCCUUCCUUUGUUACCCAAGGUCUCCCUCUACUUAAAGCAGUUGGGGAAUUUUCAGUUUCUUGCCAGGCAGUUUAAAACUGGAGAUUACUAUGCACGCAGUUUUUUAGAAAGUCCAUUGAAUGGGAUCACGCUGGACCGCAAGCAGUUAAGAGGAAAUGGCCUAUUAGGGUCUUGCUAAUCCAAGAAGUUCAGGACCUGAAAAGUAUCUAGAAUGCCUCUAAAAGGCACGACUCAAAGCAGCUAGGAUGGCUGACCCACCGAGGGCCCGCGGGAUACUCGCCGAGUAAUCGUAGAGCAGAACCUAGACCCAGGCAUCAGCACCCGUGUUGCACCGGACCAAGGCCUGGGCCCAGCGCACCGAGGUCAACUCCGGGGCCGUUGAACCAAGCCAGGAUACCCAGGUUCCACAGUGUGCUAAGGUCUUCUGCAAACUGGUCUUUAACUUCUCUGUUCAGCCUUCUCUCCAACUACUUCCCAAACAUCCUCCAUCAUGUUCCAGUCCAAGAGACUUCUUAUGCAACUUUUCCCUCACACCAUUUUCUCCAUCUUCCUGGCUGGCCUCUACUUCCCACUCCAGCUCUGCCUGGUGAAACCAUACCCAUCCUUCAAAGACCCACUUGCUUUGUGCAGUGACUAUCCUGUUGCCCAAACAUCAUUAAUUAAAAAUUCCAUCUUUGCCCCCACUGAUGUGAGGAGCCACCUACAUUAGUAGCUUUUCAGCAGAGGAGUAACACAUCUGUGUUAGAGAAUUCUGGUGGAGAUGUAGAAGACAGACUGAAGAAGAGAAAGUAGAGCAGGUAUUGAUUGGUUUAUAGCCUUUCAGGAUUUUUGGUUGUUUUUUUUUUUUUUUUAGGGUUUUUUAAUGCAUAAAUUUUGUUUUCACAAAAUUGAGAUAAUUCUAUAAGUGUGUGAAUUUAUUGAACAGGUAUUUAUUGAGAACCCAUCACCAUUUUUUAGGCCCUGGGGUUUCAGAUAACUGGGGAUAAAAGAACAGAGUCCUUGCUGUCAGGAAGCUUCUAUUCUAGUGGAGGAACUAGGCAAUAAAAUAAAAAUAUAAAUUACAUACAUAUAUAUAAAUAGGCCAGGUGAAGUGGCUCACACCUGUAAUCCUAGUACUCUGGGAGGCUAAGGCAGGAGGAUCACUUGAGGUCAGGAGUUUGAGGUUGCUAUGAUGAUGCCACUGCACUCUAGCUGGGGCAACAGAGCAAGACUGUCUAAAAAAUAUAUAUAUAUAUACACACACACACAUACACAAACAUAAUGUGUGGAUUAAGUGCUGUAAAGAAAAUUAUGGCUAAGAAAAAAAGGCUGGAGAAUUAUAGGAACUGUUAGAAGUUGUCUAGGGAAGGUCUUAUUAAGGAAAGUGACAUUUGAGCAAAGCCUUGAAUGAAGUAAGAGUGAGUCCUGCCAGUAUCUAUGAAAAGAGUUGUUCUAAUCAGUGAAAAUAGCAAGUGCAAAGAUUCUAAGGCAAAAGCAUGGCAUGUUUGUCAUGGUUUGUGGAACAAAGAGGAUGCAGGUAGAUAUUCCUGAGGCAGAAUGAGGAAGAGGGAGAAUAAGUGGGAAUGAGACCAGAAAGUGAGCUGAUAAAGGACAUUGUAAACUACCGGAAGAUUUUGGAUUUUAUUCCAAGUGUGAUGGGAAGCUACUACUAGAGAGUUUUGAUCAGAAAGGGAAAUUGUCUAACCUACCUUCUAAAAUCUUUACUCUGGUUGCUCUUGGAGAGAGGAUGAAGGCAUAAGCUAAGGCAGUGGUUCCCAACGUUUUUUGGCACCAGGACAGGUUUCAUGGAAGAUAAUUUUUCCAUGGCCAGUGGGGG
This 1990-nucleotide long non-coding RNA is filed under the name Microcebus murinus (gray mouse lemur). Its description in RNAcentral is "lncRNA (ENSMICG00000048582.1)". The record is from RNAcentral. Lineage: Eukaryota; Metazoa; Chordata; Mammalia; Primates; Cheirogaleidae.